CAGCACCUCAAGUGGUCAGGAUGAUUAUUGGGCCUAAAGCAUCCGUAGCCGGCGCUGUAAGUUUUCGGUUAAAUCUGUACGCUCAACGUACAGGCUGCCGGGAAUACUGCAGCGCUAGGGAGUGGGAGAGGUAGACGGUACUCGGUAGGAAGGGGUAAAAUCCUUUGAUCUAUUGAUGACCACCUGUGGCGAAGGCGGUCUACCAGAACACGUCCGACGGUGAGGGAUGAAAGCUGGGGGAGCAAACCGGAUUAGAUACACGCGUAGUCC
This 270-nucleotide ribosomal RNA is filed under the name uncultured archaeon. RNAcentral's name for it is "partial 16S ribosomal RNA". It matches the Rfam family "Archaeal small subunit ribosomal RNA", at positions 477 to 747 of the family's 1478-position model. The record is from RNAcentral.